Molecule: small RNA, 28 nt
Filed under: Bombyx mori (domestic silkworm)
Lineage: Eukaryota; Metazoa; Arthropoda; Insecta; Lepidoptera; Bombycidae
Description: ovarian small RNA-10953
Source: RNAcentral
ACAAGUCCGGUUCUAUUUUUGCAACGAG